Nerophis lumbriciformis (worm pipefish) is the source of this 476-nucleotide non-coding RNA. The record is from RefSeq and is a predicted model, not a curated record. NCBI's taxonomy places the organism in Eukaryota, Metazoa, Chordata, Actinopteri, Syngnathiformes, Syngnathidae.
GCUAAAGUUGUUGAUAAACAAGCAAUUAUUUUAAUAAGUAAAUAUGGUCAUUUUAAUUGAAUUAUUAUGAUCAUUUAAAAUUAAUGAUUUCAAAUAUGUUUAUUUUAAUGUAUAAUUCUAUGGCUGGAUGUAAUAAGGAGUCAGAAAAAAUACAAAUAAAUUAAUUUUGAUGUUUUUAGCAAAAUAUAGUAAAAAUUUUUUUUUUUUUUUUUUUUUUAAUUUAUUCAAUGUAUUUAUUUUUAGGUAAGAUAAACAUAAUAAUAACAUUUAUCUCUAGUCUGGAUGAUUUAUUUCUCGUCACCCUGUUGUCCUCCCGUCAUAAAGAAAAGGCUGUCCUCACUCAGCUCCGGCUGAAAAUCGGGAGAUUUUCGGGAGAAUAUUUGUCCCGGGAGGUUUUCGGGAGAGGCGCUGAGUUUCGGGAGUCUCCCGGAAAAUUCGGGAGGGUUGGCAAGUAUGAAAGACAUUCAAUUGUGAUU